RNAcentral lists this ribosomal RNA (105 nucleotides) under Rhodomelaceae sp. RA69. RNAcentral's name for it is "partial small subunit ribosomal RNA". Lineage: Eukaryota; Rhodophyta; Florideophyceae; Ceramiales; Rhodomelaceae. The record is from RNAcentral.
UUAACGAGCGAGACCUGGGCGUGCUAAAUAGGGUUCAUUAUUCUUGUAAUAGUGGUUCAACUCUUCUUAGACGGACUGUAGGCUUUUAGUCUAUGGAAGCUCCAG